Molecule: long non-coding RNA, 2647 nt
Organism: Passer domesticus (house sparrow)
Lineage: Eukaryota; Metazoa; Chordata; Aves; Passeriformes; Passeridae
Exons: 2
Source: RefSeq, a predicted model, not a curated record
CUCUCAGCCCGCAGGACCUGCAGCAGCCUGUGAAGGUGAGGGAGCAGUGAGGAAAGGAUUGUCUAAAAAACAGAAAAAGGAGGAAUUGAUGUGGAAAACAGACUAGAACUUUUGGUAGUUCCUACUAAGUUGUAAAAUAUUUUACUUCAAAGCUCAAUGAGCAGGAGUUAGCUCACAAAAGCAAAUACCUGCAUCAUUUCUGUGAAACACAGACCCUGUUUUACUGGCACAAUAUUGAUUGAUGCAACUCAACAUGAACCCUUCCUGCUCGGGCCUAUGAAGAUAGAAGCACUGUUAAAAUCAUGCUUAGUCACGGGAUUCCACAUGAAAGCUUCUGAAAAGGCUUUAUUAUUUCAACUGGAAUAAGAAUGCAACUUUGCUGAUAUUUGAGGAGUUGAAAAAAAAAAGAAAAGAAAGCAGUUUAGGUAAAUCAGGAAGAAACAACAAGCUCUGUGAGCCUUUAUUUUUUGUAAAGAACUGCUCAGAAGAGAGUUUUCAAUUAAGCUGAAAACACGUUUGUGUACAUCUCCAGUUGAAGCUGAAUAUCCUCCAGGUCACUGAGGAUUUCCAGCGCUCUGCAGCACCUGCUGAUGCUGAUUGCUCCUGAAGAUGUUGGCUAAACAAAGCUGCACCAGGAGCACUCUGACAGGAGACAGUGGGAGCUCCCACUCGGGGCUCUAAUGAGUGAUUUAUUUGUUCCCUUCUCCCCGGGCUCACCCAUCAUUACGUGUUCAUUAAGUAAUAAUUGCCAUUGAUCGACAGGCUGCUGUAUGGAUGAUGGUAAAAGAAACAGGGCUAUUAAACCUUCACUGCCUAGAACAAGUGCAUGCCACAACCAAUAAGGCAGAUUAAUGAGAAGAAUUAGACUAAGAAUAGUUAUAUCAUGGACCACUUCCUUCCUUUUCUUUUUAUUUAUGAUUAGAGACAAGUGUAGGGCAUUUUAGACAUUCAGAAAUAAAAGAGAAAACAUAUCAAAUCAAAUUUAUGCUAUCCAAGGGCUUCUGACCCUCAACAGCAGCUGGUCAUUACCUGUACUAAUAAUUAAAUUGGUUUGGUGGUUGUCAGCUGGGCUUCAUAAAGAGCAUGUAGAUCAGUUGGAGUAAAGGACAAGAGGGUAUCACAAAUAAGAUUCAAAGUCAAAUCAGGCUUCUGAUGGAUCAGUUGUGAAUAAGUCCUUGUAUAAAUAAAUAUUUAAAAGCUCUGAAAGACCUUGUAUCAUUUGGGGAGAGUGGCCAAUUUAUGAUGACUGAAAUUAUUAUUUUAUCAUACUCAUCCCAGUGUAUUAUUUUCAGAAUCAGGGGUAGGAAUAAGUUUUGGGAUCUUCUCAUCCCAUGAGAGAAGGUUGCCAUAAAGCCUUGACCAGAGCUGUGCCUCUGGACUCAAGGUGCUGUGCCUUUGAAAACACAUUUCGAUUUUGGUUUUUGGUGCCCUUAAUUCUAUACAUUGAAACAUUUUUGCCUCUCAGUAGGAUUAUAGCAGCUCCCUGUCUUUCUUUUGGUAGCUUUUUCCAGCUGGAUGUUCGUGUCUAAACCGAAUUAUUGAAAAUUUUCUCUCACAGUGCAUUUGUUUCUGAGUUACAGCAUCAUAUAUUGAUGUUUCUUUGGCUUGUUUUGCUUUGUUGCAUCUGCAGAUCAGGUCAGCAUUGCCAUUACAAUUGGGCCAAAUGGCAGUGGCUGUCUAACAAACUUGAUGGGUUUUGAGCACAGGUAAUUUCUCCUUUCCAUUGUGGUCUCAGGCCUCCUGCAAUCAAUCUUUUAAUGAAAAAAGAAAUGCCUUUUGUUGAUUUUUACAGACUGAAAGGUCAGGACAGCACUUAAUGAGAGCAAAAGAUGGAGCAAAGUGGGAGACAGGAGAGGGUUAAUUAAGAACACUGAUUGCAGCAAUUUUAUAAUUCCAGAAACCACUGUCUGUGUUGGGCCUUUAAAAAUACAGCUUUAAUUAUUAUGCUGGGUAAGAAAAGUACCUUAGGGUGGAUUCUGCCAGUGCUGUGCCAUUGAUUGCUGCAGAAAUCUGAUACUGCAGUAUUUCCUCUGCCACUGCUGCCAGGGCUGGCUCAGAAUAUCCACUGGAACUGCUUGAAAUUCAGCAGCAGUGGGAACUCAGAGGCAAAAGUUUCCAGUCUGCAUCUCAGUCCCACAGUAGCCUUGAUGAAAAGCUGGAUAAUUAUUUUUAAAUAUGGCAAAUAAAAAGAAUUGUUUAAUUUUUUACACAUAUUCCUGUUUAAUCACUUUAAAACCAAAAAGGCAAAACUGUUAAUGGUGCCACACUUAGAAAAGGAGUUUAGGCCUGCCAGCCCUCCUGAAUUUGUCUGAACAUCAGCUGAGUGUGAGAAAAGAGCAAUAUUAUUAAAAAUAUUGCGUGAGGUGUUUCCUGUCUUAUGAAAUACUAUUCUUGGCUUACUGUGAGUUACAGCAAUAGAUCAUAACAGGGGAACAUGAUGGACUAGAAUGGCCAAAAGAAUAAAAACCAUUAUUUGGAUACAUUUCCUCCAUGCUUAACUCCAUUUUAAGAAUAGAUCCUGUAUUUUCUUUAAUGACUCCUAGCCUGUGCUCACUUGGAAGUAAUAAGAGGGACAACAUUACCUGAGAAUAUCCAGGGAUAAAUUGGUUCCUAAUCUGUUGUGGAAAAUACAAUUAGCUAUAAAAUA